ACAUGUACAAUUUUCUGUUAUUGGUGAUGAACGUGAAAGAGGUAUAUCUGGUGGUCAAAGAAAACGUGUUAAUAUUGGUAUUGAAUUAGUUGCAUUACCAAAAGUAUU
RNAcentral lists this non-coding RNA (108 nucleotides) under Paraphysomonas vestita. The record is from RNAcentral. Lineage: Eukaryota; Chrysophyceae; Chromulinales; Paraphysomonadaceae.